RNAcentral lists this unclassified non-coding RNA (378 nucleotides) under plant metagenome. RNAcentral describes it as "partial contains 5.8S ribosomal RNA, internal transcribed spacer 2, and large subunit ribosomal RNA". The stretch from base 1 to 105 matches the Rfam family "5.8S ribosomal RNA", at positions 50 to 154 of the family's 154-position model. The record is from RNAcentral.
GAAAUGCGAUAAGUAAUGCGAAUUGCAGAAUUCAGUGAAUCAUCGAAUCUUUGAACGCACCUUGCGCUCCUUGGUAUUCCUUGGAGCAUGCCUGUUUGAGUAUCAUGAAAUCUUCAAAGUAAAUCUUUUGUUAACUCAAUUGGUUUCUACUUUGGUAUUGGAGGUCUUUGCAGCUUCACACCUGCUCCUCUUUGUUCAUUAGCUGGAUCUCAGUGUUAUGCUUGGUUCCACUCGGCGUGAUAAGUUAUCUAUCGCUGAGGACACUGUAAAAGGUGGCCAAGGUAAAUGCAGAUGAACCGCUUCUAAUAGUCCAUUGACUUGGACAAUACUUUUAUGAUCUGAUCUCAAAUCAGGUAGGACUACCCGCUGAACUUAAGC